AUACGGAGGGUGCAAGCGUUACUCGGAAUCACUGGGCGUAAAGCGCGCGCAGGCGGCUAUUUAAGUUGGUUGUGAAAGCCUACGGCUCAACCGUAGAACUGCAUCCAAAACUAUUUAGCUAGAGUGUGGGAGAGGAAGAUGGAAUUAGUUGUGUAGGGGUAAAAUCCGUAGAGAUAACUAGGACUACCAAAAGCGAAGGCAAUCUUCUGGAACACUACUGACGCUGAGGCGCGAAAGCGUGGGGAGCAAACGGGAUUAGAAACCCCGGUAGUCC
RNAcentral lists this ribosomal RNA (274 nucleotides) under uncultured bacterium. RNAcentral describes it as "partial 16S ribosomal RNA". It matches the Rfam family "Bacterial small subunit ribosomal RNA", at positions 523 to 796 of the family's 1533-position model. The record is from RNAcentral.